GGGUGGGGGGCGCACCCCCCUCCCCACGUCACCCACCCGGACGGGGCACUUGGCCACGAAGCUGCCUGGUGCUGGACUCGCCCCGCAUCCCAGCCUGGCUUUCAUUUAUUUUUUUUAAGUUAUUAACGAAAUCUGAAUGUCGGGAGCUUGCUUCCGACCAGAGGGUGAACUUGACCGCGUCCGGCCCUCACACGACCACCCCGCCGCCCCAGCCAGGGCCCCCGCUGCUCCAUGUGAACGGCUAGUGAACGGGGUUCGAAGAGCCCGCGUGCCAGCCCUGCGUGUGCCUCUACCAGCCCCUUCCCCGGCUCCUUCGGGCCCGUUGUGAGCGUGGGUCUUGCCACCAUCACUUUGGAAACCACCUCAGACUGAGUGUGUGUAUGCCACCGGGUGAAGGCGGCCUGAAACCCCCGAGCGACCCAGACGCCUCGCCCGCGGCUGCUCCUGUGACCUGUGGCCUCUGGACACCGGGGAGAGCCGUUCCGUGUCCGCCGGGAGCCCGCGCUCCUGUGCGGAAGGUCAGGCAACAGAGUAUCGCCCCGGGCGCUUCUUUGUGUCGCUUCCCCGACUCCAAGGACGCGCGCGACCCCUGUUGGUGGAGGGGCGCCAUCGCAGCCCGGCCCGCCAACCCGCGUCCCGCGGGGUCCUCCCCCCCGCCGCGGGGACUGUCCCCCAGCGCCCACCGCUCCCACCGCAGCCCCCCUCAGCCCCCACCCCCGCAGCUCCAGGCCACAGUCACACCCAGUUCCCCCUCCCGACCUGCUCUUCCUCCCCUGUCCCUGCGUGGCCAGCGCUCACCAGCCACGAAGACAACCCCAGGCCCUGGCCUGGCCUCCCGCAGACAGCGGUCCACUCAACCCACAGAAUGGGGUCUACGCCCUGCGGACCGGACCGGCGCUAACCCCUCCCGCCGCGCCGCCUGCUCCUCCAGGCCUUCCUCCAACGCGGAUGUUGACCCCGCAGGACCGACUCGCGGGUCCCCUGGGGCCCAGUCUCUCUCCCUGGCACAUUCACUGCUCUGUAGUUUGGGGUCCCUAUGCUAAGACUGCAGGGUCCCCCGCGCUGGUCAGCCCCGGGUUUGCACAUCGGGUGCUGCGGUCCGGACCAGUAGCACGCUGGGGAGCCACAGCGCCCCCCUGUGGUCAUCGUGCCCACAACGCUCAAUCCGAGGCCCUUAGUUUCUUUUUAAACAUGUUUUGGAUUUUAUAUUGAUUUUAGAGAGGAAGGGCGAGAAGCACCAUCAAUCAAUCGGCUGCGUUCUGCACGCCCCCCAACUGGGAUUGGGCCUGCAAGCCGGGUAUGCGCCCUGUCUGGGAAUUGAACCAUGACCUCCUGCUUCAUAGGUCAACGCCCAACCACUGUGACACACGGGGCAGCAGGAUGGACUUUUUGAUAAAGGGUGCUGGGACAAUGGACACCCACGUGGGGAAAAUGCAUCAAAGCCCAAUUCCAGGUGGAUGGCAGACUACGUUUAAAAGCAAAACUGCUUUAGUGUGGCUCAGCAAGGUUGCUGGUUCGAUUCCUGGUUAGGGCACAUGCCUGGGUUGCAGGUUAAAUGCCUGGUUGGGGGUGUGCAA
Molecule: long non-coding RNA, 1577 nt
Organism: Myotis brandtii (Brandt's bat)
Lineage: Eukaryota; Metazoa; Chordata; Mammalia; Chiroptera; Vespertilionidae
Exons: 3
Source: RefSeq, a predicted model, not a curated record